GGCCCCGUGGCGAAAUGGCAGACGCAGCGGACUUAAAAUCCGCAGCCCGUAACAGGGCGUGUGGGUUCAAAUCCCACCGGGGCCAC
RNAcentral lists this transfer RNA (86 nucleotides) under Phycisphaerae bacterium. RNAcentral describes it as "tRNA-Leu". It matches the Rfam family "tRNA". Rfam says of the family: Transfer RNA (tRNA) molecules are approximately 80 nucleotides in length. Their secondary structure includes four short double-helical elements and three loops (D, anti-codon, and T loops). Lineage: Bacteria; Pseudomonadati; Planctomycetota; Phycisphaerae. The record is from RNAcentral.